AUCAUAUGGGCUUUUUAUCAUAAUGGGUCCGUAUAGAUUACGUGGAAACCCUAGAGAUUAUAAGGGAGGGAAAACCCUAAGUUAGGUUUGUGCCUUAGCAUAACUAAUCGUCAUCUUUCAGCUCCUCGAUUCGCUCCUCCGUCCAAGUCAACAUGGCGCCGAAGAAGGACAAGGUCCCGCCGCCGUCAUCCAAGCCAGCCAAAUCUGGAGGUGGAAAACAAAAGAAGAAGAAGUGGAGCAAGGGAAAGCAAAAGGAGAAGGUGAACAACAUGGUGUUGUUUGAUCAGGCUACUUACGACAAGCUUCUCACUGAAGCUCCCAAGUUCAAGCUCAUCACUCCUUCCAUUCUCUCCGACCGUAUGAGGAUUAACGGAUCUCUAGCAAGGAGGGCGAUUAGGGAGCUGAUGGCGAAAGGUGUGAUCAGGAUGGUUGCUGCUCACUCUAGCCAGCAGAUCUACACUCGUGCCACCAACACUUGAAAAAUAUGUCUUUUUUGCAAGUUUGCAACCAUCAUAUUUCCCGCCAUUAAAACAUUGUUAUUUGUACUCUCAGAAAUGGCUGAGUUCCAGUUCCAGAUUUGAGGUAUCGAGAGAAGCUUUUGGGGGAAACAAAAGGAAAGUAAACAACAAUUUGCCAUUGAGAUGGAUGGUUGAGAGAAGAACCGAUCAGUGUAUCUUCUUUAUUCACUGCAGCCUCAUAUUUCUCAUCCUACAUAUAUGUAAACACAAUAAUGUGAGACGUUCAUUAUAAAAUCUCUACAGGUGUGUCUUAAACUAAGAUUAUCAGAACUUUGGUAGCUUUCUUUUGGCAUGUUUUGCUAUAUAAACUUCACGUUUAGGGCAAUAAAUACCUCUUUUCUUCCUGAAAUUGCCUGCCAUUGGUUUUGUAGUUUGGGAAUGGGACAUGACCGGUCUCUAUGCUGUUGAUAUCUUGCACAAGGAGUUCAUAGUGUCUUUUUACCUCUUCUGUUGUUUUUCCACCAACAACUUGGGCAACAUUGUGCCAACGGUUAGGAGUAUCCUGGUCAUAGGUUGCUAGAGCCUGCUCAAAGGCUUUGUUCUGCUUAGCUGUCCACGAACCAGAGCUUUGAGAAGACACUGAGCUUGAUGCCAUUGUGAUGAGAGAUUUUGUUUUUUUAUGGAUGGGAUGAUUGCAAGUCAAGAGGAGGAUGAUAUGUGUACUUAUUUGUUCCAUAAGGCUUCCUCUUUAUAAAGAAGAAGAUGUAAGGUGACUUUGGGUAGUGCCAGUUGUUAAAACAAUAUAUCUUGUCAAAGUUGAAGAUAAUUUAAAGUCCAUGUCUCCAUAGGAAUCGCCUAGCGAACAGUAAAAGAGAAUAUCAGCCUAUAUUGGUGGAGAUCAGUAUCUAAAAGAUCCGAACAAAUCACUUAUAAUACUUUGGUUAUAAGCUCUUUUUCCUUAUUACAUUUUGAGUUUGAAGCUAGGCAGGAAGAUUUGCUGUACGUGAUUACUUAUCUACCAUGCCAAGUCAGUUAGAGAUGAGCUAUGUUCUAGAUUAAGGUUAGGGAAGUUAGUAAAUUAUAUGUCAAUAUUCAUCUACUUUGUGGAAAAAUCUGUCCUCAGGGGAAAAUUCUCUGUUAGUUCUUUGACUAGAACAGUAAAAAUAAAUUGCAGAUAAACUGGAUCACAUUAAUUGGCUAUUAAGAUUUCUUAUCAAUGGGACAAGCUAGCAAAAGGUUCUUCUGAAUUAUAAAGUCUUUGCAGGAAAUGAAGUUGGGGGAUCAAACUUUAUUGUUGAUUGCCAACUAUGAUUGUAUUUGGCCAUUUAUUUCAAGCUACAUCAAAUCAAAUAUGAUGUGAAAAAGGGUCAACUCUACCUUGGAAGUUUGCCAACUAUGCUUUUUGUUUGGUCAUUCAUUUGCAUAUUUGGUCUUCAGUUGGUUAAACAGUUACUUUUCUUGGUGGAUUUUGAAAGCUUGUGUUGCAUUUACUGUUAAUGACUUUUACCUGUAACUUCUUUGUAUCACUCUUCUUGGAGAUACUUGCAUUCGUGCUACUCCUAGUUAUAGAUAUUUCUCCUGGUUGUGAUAGCUGAAUAGAUUAGAGCAUAAAACUUACGUUACAAGAAAGAAAAGUUCAAACCAGGUAAAUGAAUCUUAAUCAUGAGGCUGGUUGGGCGCAUAAUAUAUUCCAGAGAUGUAUAUAGGGUGCAAGUUGCUUACGGGAUUCUCACUGCAAGUAGUCCAUUCACAGUGUAUAUAUUAUAUUCUCAUCGUCUUUUCUUUUUCUUUGCCUUAGGGCAAGAGGUGCUAAAAAUGGUAGUAAUUACACAGAUAUCCCCACGUACAGUACUUAAGGUUGAGCUUUGGGGGAACAUCUGAAUGAAUUGGUUGUUACUCAACAUGGGAGGGAUACUCUGCAUCUUUACUUUGGUGAUAUAUGAAAAGUUACAUAUUGAGUAAAGAUCUGUUGGAUUUUAUUCCAUAUAUUGGGCUUCCAUUCUUCUUAUAUAUGAAGAUAACAAGGCCAUACUUGAAACACGUUGCCCCUAGACAGUGUAAACUAUCAUCACAGUAGCUUUCCAAGAAUAUGUAGGGAAUAAAAAAAGAAAGGGAAGGGUAAGCAUUUUCUUGCAAAGACCAAGUGUUAUAUACUUGUAUUAUAUUCCUCACCAAGUGGUUGGUCCUUCUGCAACUUGACAAACGAAUCCUUAUGUAAGCUCAAUUAGAAGCAGAAACCUACUUUGUUUCGAUAUCUUUGAUCAUAAGAAGUUGGCAAAUGGAGAAUCUCCACACUCUUUUAAAUUUUGUGAACAAACAGAGUUACUUUUUUUUCAGACAAAGUAAACUAGAACUCUGUUCAACCACUGCACAUAAUGUUUCAAGUCGCAAAGAUAUGACCAUACAUCUUCAAAAUUACGUGAUUCUGUUAAUAGUUAUGUUAAGAUAAUUUCACGGAGAAAGUCUGUUCACAUUUUGCCAUCAAUACAUAUGGGUACUUUCACUUGGCUGAUUUGGAGAAAAUAUUGGCCAAUUUGUUACUUCAAAAUUUAUUAUAUUCAAUACUGAAAACAACCUUUUUGGGAAUUUUGAAAUCUUUUAUUUCCAUUUCAAAUAAUCGAAGAUAUCUUCUUUACUUGAUGUCGACAUUGAAAGAAAAGUAUAAUUAUAAAAACGGAAAGAGAAUAUUCGGAGUAUAUCAGUGUCUUUUUAGCUUAUAUUCUUAAUCAAAAACGAAGAGAUAAGAUCUGGUCUAAAUCUAAAACAACUCAUAUCAUCUAAUCAAUCUUUUAAACGCAAUAAUGAUAGCAUCUUAAAUCAAAAGAUAUAAGGUAGGGAGUGGGGAAUAUUAACACACUAAUAAUUCAAAAACAUAGGCUGAAAUAUAUAAAUGAGUUCAUAAUAGCUGAUCGGGCGACGAACGAGUAUAAUGCGACGGUGAAAAAAAAAGAAAUCAAGAGAAGCUUAUAAUUUAGAGAACAAGAUGCGAUUUAACAUUUCGUUUCAGGCAAGCAAGACUUUAACGAUCCGUUAAAACAAAAAAGUAAACAAGAAAUCCAGAACCAAACCAAACCGGAGAAACAUUCAUACGGAAGCAAGUCUAAACCGAAAACAGAGCACCA
RNA transcript from Brassica napus (rape), 3580 nucleotides. It is a transcript of the gene named 40S ribosomal protein S25-4, with no coding region annotated. The record is from RefSeq and is a predicted model, not a curated record. NCBI's taxonomy places the organism in Eukaryota, Viridiplantae, Streptophyta, Magnoliopsida, Brassicales, Brassicaceae. The transcript is spliced from 5 exons.